UACGGAGGGUGCGAGCGUUGUUCGGAAUCAUUGGGCGUAAAGCGCGCGCAGGCGGCUCUGUAAGUCCAGGGGUGAAAUGCCGGAGCUCAACUCCGAGCGUGCCCCGGAUACUGCGGAGCUAGAGGCAGGUAGAGGCUGGCGGAAUUCCGGGUGUAGCGGUGGAAUGCGUAGAGAUCCGGAAGAACACCAGAGGCGAAGGCGGCCAGCUGGGCCUGACCUGACGCUGAGGCGCGAAGGCGUGGGGAGCGAACAGGAUUAGAAACCCCAGUAGUCC
RNAcentral lists this ribosomal RNA (274 nucleotides) under uncultured bacterium. RNAcentral's name for it is "partial 16S ribosomal RNA". It matches the Rfam family "Bacterial small subunit ribosomal RNA", at positions 524 to 796 of the family's 1533-position model. The record is from RNAcentral.